RNAcentral lists this ribosomal RNA (497 nucleotides) under uncultured bacterium. RNAcentral describes it as "partial 16S ribosomal RNA". It matches the Rfam family "Bacterial small subunit ribosomal RNA", at positions 28 to 507 of the family's 1533-position model. The record is from RNAcentral.
GAUGAACGCUGGCGGCGUGCCUAAUACAUGCAAGUCGAGCGAACAGACGAGGAGCUUGCUCCUCUGACGUUAGCGGCGGACGGGUGAGUAACACGUGGAUAACCUACCUAUAAGACUGGGAUAACUUCGGGAAACCGGAGCUAAUACCGGAUAAUAUAUUGAACCGCAUGGUUCAAUAGUGAAAGACGGUUUUGCUGUCACUUAUAGAUGGAACCGCGCCGCAUUAGCUAGUUGGUAAGGUAACGGCUUACCAAGGCGACGAUGCGUAGCCGACCUGAGAGGGUGCUCGGCCACACUGGAACUCAGACACGGUCCAGACUCCUACGGGAGGCAGCAGUAGGGAAUCUUCCGCAGUGGGCGAAAGCCUGACGGAGCAACGCCGCGUGAGUGAUGAAGGUCUUCGGAUCGUAAAACUCUGUUAUUAGGGAAGAACAAAUGUGUAAGUAACUAUGCACGUCUUGACGGUACCUAAUCAGAAAGCCACGGCUAACUACGUG